UCAGGACGAACGCUGGCGGCGUGCCUAAUACAUGCAAGUCGAGCGGACAGAUGGGAGCUUGCUCCCUGAUGUUAGCGGCGGACGGGUGAGUAACACGUGGGUAACCUGCCUGUAAGACUGGGAUAACUCCGGGAAACCGGGGCUAAUACCGGAUGSUUGUUUGAACCGCAUGGUUCAGACAUAAAAGGUGGCUUCGGCUACCACUUACAGAUGGACCCGCGGCGCAUUAGCUAGUUGGUGAGGUAACGGCUCACCAAGGCGACGAUGCGUAGCCGACCUGAGAGGGUGAUCGGCCACACUGGGACUGAGACACGGCCCAGACUCCUACGGGAGGCAGCAGUAGGGAAUCUUCCGCAAUGGACGAAAGUCUGACGGAGCAACGCCGCGUGAGUGAUGAAGGUUUUCGGAUCGUAAAGCUCUGUUGUUAGGGAAGAACAAGUGCCGUUCAAAUAGGGCGGCACCUUGACGGUACCUAACCAGAAAGCCACGGCUAACUACGUGCCAGCAGCCGCGGUAAUACGUAGGUGGCAAGCGUUGUCCGGAAUUAUUGGGCGUAAAGGGCUCGCAGGCGGUUUCUUAAGUCUGAUGUGAAAGCCCCCGGCUCAACCGGGGAGGGUCAUUGGAAACUGGGGAACUUGAGUGCAGAAGAGGAGAGUGGAAUUCCACGUGUAGCGGUGAAAUGCGUAGAGAUGUGGAGGAACACCAGUGGCGAAGGCGACUCUCUGGUCUGUAACUGACGCUGAGGAGCGAAAGCGUGGGGAGCGAACAGGAUUAGAUACCCUGGUAGUCCACGCCGUAAACGAUGAGUGCUAAGUGUUAGGGGGUUUCCGCCCCUUAGUGCUGCAGCUAACGCAUUAAGCACUCCGCCUGGGGAGUACGGUCGCAAGACUGAAACUCAAAGGAAUUGACGGGGGCCCGCACAAGCGGUGGAGCAUGUGGUUUAAUUCGAAGCAACGCGAAGAACCUUACCAGGUCUUGACAUCCUCUGACAAUCCUAGAGAUAGGACGUCCCCUUCGGGGGCAGAGUGACAGGUGGUGCAUGGUUGUCGUCAGCUCGUGUCGUGAGAUGUUGGGUUAAGUCCCGCAACGAGCGCAACCCUUGAUCUUAGUUGCCAGCAUUCAGUUGGGCACUCUAAGGUGACUGCCGGUGACAAACCGGAGGAAGGUGGGGAUGACGUCAAAUCAUCAUGCCCCUUAUGACCUGGGCUACACACGUGCUACAAUGGRCAGAACAAAGGGCAGCGAAACCGCGAGGUUAAGCCAAUCCCACAAAUCUGUUCUCAGUUCGGAUCGCAGUCUGCAACUCGACUGCGUGAAGCUGGAA
RNAcentral lists this ribosomal RNA (1324 nucleotides) under Bacillus amyloliquefaciens. RNAcentral describes it as "bacterial SSU rRNA". Lineage: Bacteria; Bacillati; Bacillota; Bacilli; Caryophanales; Bacillaceae. The record is from RNAcentral.